UCUCCGUAGGUGAACCUGCGGAAGGAUCAUUAAAAAAAAGAGAAACGUCCCGUUUUUUUCAUAAGAAUGGGUUCUAUUCCCUUAAACCGUGUCUACAUUCCUUUGUUGCUUUGGCAGGCCGCCUUCGGGCGUCGGCUCCGGCUGAUAGUGUCUGCCAGAGGACCCAAACUCUAUGUUUAGUGAUGUCUGAGUACUAUAUAAUAUUUAAAACUUUCAACAACGGAUCUCUUGGUUCUG
Molecule: unclassified non-coding RNA, 237 nt
Filed under: plant metagenome
Description: partial contains small subunit ribosomal RNA, internal transcribed spacer 1, and 5.8S ribosomal RNA
Source: RNAcentral